Molecule: unclassified non-coding RNA, 264 nt
Filed under: plant metagenome
Description: partial contains small subunit ribosomal RNA, internal transcribed spacer 1, and 5.8S ribosomal RNA
Source: RNAcentral
CUUUCCGUAGGUGAACCUGCGGAAGGAUCAUUAUUGUAUAACCGAGGUGCGAGGGCUGUCGCUGACCCGAAAGGUCGUGCACGCCCGAGUGCCCUCACACACAUCCAUCUCACCCCUAUGUGCACCACCGCGUGGGUCCCCCUUUGGCUUGUUCGGAGGGGGGCUUACGUUUUCACACAAACUUUGUAUGCAGUGUAGAAUGUAUUUUUUGUUUUUGCGAUCACGCAAUCAAUACAACUUUCAACAACGGAUCUCUUGGCUCUC